Molecule: ribosomal RNA, 216 nt
Filed under: uncultured bacterium
Lineage: Bacteria
Description: partial 16S ribosomal RNA
Rfam family: Bacterial small subunit ribosomal RNA
Source: RNAcentral
UACGGGGGGAGCAAGCGUUGUUCGGAUUUACUGGGCGUAAAGGGCGCGUAGGCGGCCACCGCAAGUCGACUGUGAAAUCUCCGGGCUUAACCCGGAAAGGUCAGCCGAUACUGCGGGGCUAGAGUGCAGAAGGGGCAACUGGGAAUUCGUCGGUGUAGCGGUGAAAUGGCGUAGGAUAAUCGAGAGGAACACCUGCGGCGAAGGCGGGGUUGCUGG